AACGAACGCUGGCGGCAGGCCUAACACAUGCAAGUCGAGCGAGAUCUUCGGGUCUAGCGGCGGACGGGUGAGUAACGCGUGGGAAUAUGCCUCUUGGUACGGAAUAGCCUCGGGAAACUGGGAGUAAUACCGUAUGUGCCCUUUGGGGGAAAGAUUUAUCGCCAAGCGAUUAGCCCGCGUUGGAUUAGGUAGUUGGUGGGGUAAUGGCCUACCAAGCCGACGAUCCAUAGCUGGUUUGAGAGGAUGAUCAGCCACACUGGGACUGAGACACGGCCCAGACUCCUACGGGAGGCAGCAGUGGGGAAUCUUAGACAAUGGGGGCAACCCUGAUCUAGCCAUGCCGCGUGAGUGAUGAAGGCCUUAGGGUUGUAAAGCUCUUUCAGCUGGGAAGAUAAUGACGGUACCAGCAGAAGAAGCCCCGGCUAACUCCGUG
RNAcentral lists this ribosomal RNA (433 nucleotides) under uncultured bacterium. Its description in RNAcentral is "partial 16S ribosomal RNA". It matches the Rfam family "Bacterial small subunit ribosomal RNA", at positions 29 to 507 of the family's 1533-position model. The record is from RNAcentral.